GGAAGCGUGGCUGAGUGGUUUAAGGCACUGGUUUCGAAAACCAGCGGGUCCGAAAGGGCCUCGGAGGUUCGAAUCCUCCCGCUUCCG
This 87-nucleotide transfer RNA is filed under the name bacterium. RNAcentral's name for it is "tRNA-Ser". It matches the Rfam family "tRNA". From Rfam's summary of the family: Transfer RNA (tRNA) molecules are approximately 80 nucleotides in length. Their secondary structure includes four short double-helical elements and three loops (D, anti-codon, and T loops). The record is from RNAcentral.